GAUGAACGCUGGCGGCGUGCCUAAUACAUGCAAGUCGAGCGAACAGACGAGGAGCUUGCUCCUCUGACGUUAGCGGCGGACGGGUGAGUAAAACGUGGAUAACCUACCUAUAAGACUGGGAUAACUUCGGGAAAACGGAGCUAAUACCGGCUCAUAUAUUGAACCGCAUGGUUCAAUAGUUAAAGACGGUUUUGCUGUCACUUAUAGCUGGAUCCGCGCGGGAUUAGCUAGUUGGUAAGGUAACGGCUUACCAAGGCAACGAUGCGUAUCCGACCUGAGAGGGUGAUCGGCCACACUGGAACUGAGACACGGUCCAGACUCCUACGGGAGGCAGCAGUGGGGAAUCUUCGACAAUGGGCGAAAGCCUGAUGCAGCAACGCCGCGUGAGUGAUGAAGGCCUUCGGAUCGUAAAGCUCUGUUAUUGGGGAAGAACAGAUGUGUAAUUAAAUAUGCACGUCUUGACGGUACCCAAAGAGAAAGCCCCGGCUAACUACGUG
Molecule: ribosomal RNA, 497 nt
Filed under: uncultured bacterium
Lineage: Bacteria
Description: partial 16S ribosomal RNA
Rfam family: Bacterial small subunit ribosomal RNA
Source: RNAcentral